UAUCCUACGGGGCGCAGCAGUGAGGAAUAUUGGUCAAUGGGCGGGAGCCUGAACCAGCCAAGUCGCGUGAGGGAAGACGGUCCUAUGGAUUGUAAACCUCUUUAGGCGGGGAGCAAUGCCGGGCACGCGUGCCCGGAGGGAGAGUACCCGCAGAAUAAGCAUCGGCUAACUCCGUGCCAGCAGCCGCGGUAAUACGGAGGAUGCGAGCGUUAUCCGGAUUUAUUGGGUUUAAAGGGUGCGUAGGCGGACAGUCAAGUCAGCGGUAAAAAUGCGGUGCUCAACGCCGUGCAGCCGUUGAAACUGGG
RNAcentral lists this ribosomal RNA (305 nucleotides) under uncultured bacterium. RNAcentral describes it as "bacterial SSU rRNA". It matches the Rfam family "Bacterial small subunit ribosomal RNA", at positions 335 to 637 of the family's 1533-position model. The record is from RNAcentral.